This is a long non-coding RNA of Manis pentadactyla (Chinese pangolin), 1817 nucleotides long. RefSeq lists it as uncharacterized. The transcript is spliced from 4 exons. The record is from RefSeq and is a predicted model, not a curated record. Lineage: Eukaryota; Metazoa; Chordata; Mammalia; Pholidota; Manidae.
GAGUGAAGGUGGCGGUGGAGAGGGGUAUUUCAGAGGAAAGAGCCAGUAGAAGGCACAAGGUGUGAAAUAAGUAGACCGUUAGGAACUGCAAGUGGGUCCCUGUGACUUGGGUGCAGGGAGUGUGGGAGGAAAUGGGGGGCAGAUGGGAACCUUGGAAGGGCUUGAAGCUCACAGACAUGUGUGGGCAGUGGGCAAAGAACAAGCCCUGGAGUCCCUGACUUGGAUUUAAAUCCCCAUUCUCACUGCACGACCUUGCACAAGGCCAGCCCCCACUCUGGGCCUCUUGUCUGUGGGUCACAGGAGGGAAAGUGCCGUGGUGAGGUCCAUCGGGGGCCCUUGGUCAGCACUGUGUGUGCUGAGCCCCAAGCGCAGAGGUCACUCAGCUGUCCUUAGCGAUGCAUACAUACCUCCCUCCUGAGGGCAGGUCCAGCCAGCCAACCUGGGAACUCCUGGGGUGUGAACGGGGCAUGGUGGGGCAGGGGAAGGACUGGCUGUCUCAGCUGGUCUGGGUGCUGGCUGGGUCAGACGUGCAGACAGCUGGGCGACUCCUCCCACUUGGGUGGUUCAGCCCCAGGCACAUUGCUGUGGGGUUGGGGCACAGGGCGGUGGGAGCGGGAACCAGGAAGCCUGGCACUGAGUGCUCAAGGUGAGCCUGCUGCCCAUUCACGUUGCCUCACUCGACUCUCACCGAAGCAGCUCAGAUCUUUGCUGCCUUUCACCAAGACCACUAGAUGGCGUCAGUGCUCCAUCUUCUAAAAAGAAAUCAGCAGCUCCCUACUAAGAGCUCAGAAAGCCCCUUCUCUGGACUCGAGGACAUCCAGGAGCCAAAACCAGCUUCCAAGAGCCAGGAGGGUUCAGCCUGAAGGGAGAGGCAAAGAUUCCCUGUUCCUGGAAUUGGACGAAGGGACAGUGUAGCCUUGUUUUUCCUCCAGGAACCCAGGGACUAAGGGAAAGAGAAGCAUCCAUACAAAACUCCUCCGAGGCCUGCUGUGCCUCAGGCAGCAGGGGCUGUGAGGGUUAGCAUGCAGGCUCAUGCACGGAAGCAUUAGAGGAGAAAUACGAUGUGCCUGGGAGCAUGGCUGGGGCAUUAGUGAGAGUCUGAACAGCAAGGAGAAAGGAUGCCGAAAUUACAUCACUAAAUGAUCUAGAGCCUGUAUGCCUUGACUUCCAUCUGUCCCAGCAGCCUCAGCACCACACUGCUAUGAACAUGUCCGUCUGUGGCUCUGCCUUCUCCUCCAGAUUGGCUGGUCCUUGAGGGCAAGGCCAUGUCGGACUUGGUUUUGUAUCAAGUGUGGGCAUGUGACCGAGAUGGAUUUAGAACUGGGCUUUGAUCCAAGGGGUCAAAGGAAAGACAGACCUUGGACUUUUCCUGAAAGUUUUUUAAAAGGUUACUAAGAUGGCAUGACAUGAGUUAGGAGCCACUGGAGAUCAUCUUGGUUACCACAAAGAGAGAGCAUGCCUGGGAGUGAUGUCAACCCAGAGGAAAGCAUGAUGACAUCAUGUGAACACCUGGACCCAGCCACUCCAGAAGCUAGAAUUGACCUGUUCAGUUCUGGGAGUUGCUUCUUAAGUUGUUUUUCUUGAGUUGGAUUUCAAUCUCUUACAACCAAAAGAGCCUAGGUCAAUAUGGUCUUUCCCCCCUAUAUUAAAAAAAAAAUCUUGAUUAUCAAAUGGCACCUAUUAAAAAUGUCCGCUGGCCCAGUAUAAGUGGGUGGUGUAUUUCAGAGACACAUUUUGCCUUAACUCUGGAGCAGGCAUGCCGAGGGUUCAAUCCUCCUGCCACCUGGGAAGGACCCUACUGCCCUUGCUUCUAAGAU